Camelina sativa (false flax) is the source of this 209-nucleotide non-coding RNA. NCBI's taxonomy places the organism in Eukaryota, Viridiplantae, Streptophyta, Magnoliopsida, Brassicales, Brassicaceae. The record is from RefSeq and is a predicted model, not a curated record.
GCACUGCAUGAACGUCGUUUGUCGCUUGAACAAGAUGUGUCAAGAUUACAAGAACAGCUGCAAGCCGAAAGAGAUCUCCGAGCAGCACUGGAGGUUGGUUUGAGCAUGUCCUCUGGACAAUUCAGCUCACAUGGUGUGGAUUCGAAAACAAGGGCUGAGCUUGAGGAAAUUGCUCUUGCUGAGGCUGAUGUGGCCAGGCUGAAGCAGAA